RNAcentral lists this ribosomal RNA (460 nucleotides) under uncultured bacterium. RNAcentral's name for it is "partial 16S ribosomal RNA". It matches the Rfam family "Bacterial small subunit ribosomal RNA", at positions 338 to 795 of the family's 1533-position model. The record is from RNAcentral.
CCUACGGGAGGCAGCAGUGAGGAAUAUUGGUCAAUGGGCGCGAGCCUGAACCAGCCAAGUCGCGUGAGGGAUGAAGGCCCUACGGAUUGUAAACUUCUUUUAUAAGGGAAUAAAGUGAGGCACGUGUGCCUUUUUGUAUGUACUUUAUGAAUAAGGAUCGGCUAACUCCGUGCCAGCAGCCGCGGUAAUACGGAGGAUCCGAGCGUUAUCCGGAUUUAUUGGGUUUAAAGGGAGCGUAGAUGGGUUUUUAAGUCAGUGGUGAAAGUUUGUGGCUCAACCGUAAAAUUGCAAUUGAAACUGGCAGUCUUGAGUACAGUUGAGGUAGGCGGAAUGCGUGGUGUAGCGGUGAAAUGCUUAGAUAUCACGCAGAACCCCGAUUGCGAAGGCAGCUUACUAAACCGCGACUGACACUGAUGCUCGAAAGUGUGGGUAUCAAACAGGAUUAGAUACCCUAGUAGUC